UUGGCCCCACUGUGCACCACACACUCCUUUCCCAGCCCAGGGGCACGCGAACAAAAUGAGGCUCAAGCUGACCAGGCCGAGCCGGAGGAACGCUGGGGCUUGGCAGCAGAAGGGAUGGGACCAGAGAGAAGGGUGUGGAGGAGACCCCAGUGAGGGCCAGGACAUUUCAGGUAAAGAGAGGUCAUAUCUCCGUACCUCACUUCCUGACACAAACAAGUUUUCACUGUUGUCAGCAACAAAGCCCUAAUAUAGCUGCGGAAGAGAAAAACUGCAUUGCAUUUUGCCUCCUGCAAGCAUCAUCAACAGUUACUGGAGGAACGUAAUUCCAGAAAGCUUGAAAGCCGUGGUGAUGGUAAUUAUGUAUCAAAUGCCUGGUUCUAUUUCUGUUAUUAUUGUUUUGUCAUUUCUGUUUUCCCAGCGAUCUGACUGAACUCGCAGAGGGACAAAUCCAGUUUUUCUUUUUGACUUUUGUCAAACUAAAUCAGGCCUGAUAGAAAACUCAUUGCUCUCCGGGGAAACAAAGUAGGAGCCACGAAAUGUCAUUUUAACAGAGCGUGGGUUUGGUGACUGUAGGAAAGGAUUUGAGGACGCUCCUUCUGUUCGGCUUCCUAUGUCAUGAGCACAGGCUCCACGCACGCACAGACACCACGGCUCCCGGAUGCUGUGGCUCCCCGAUCGGGGCUCCUGCAGCGCCAGAAGCCCCUCCGGGAUGCUUCGAGGGGCUCCCGGUGGGUGGAGGUACGGACGCCGCUGCGGCCGCCGCCGCCAGUCCUGCUGCUGUUGUUGCUGCUGCAGUCACGUGGGAGCCCCUUUAAGUUUCCAUAGAGAGGCCUCUCUGGUGUCACAUGAUGGACAUGAUAUAAUGAAACAACAUUGUGGAGAGGAAAGCAUUAGGGGAGCCCACGGCUACAAAAACAAGUGAGUGAGAAGAGGUGGGAGGAAGAGAAACUACGCCACCUCCCCUGCAGCCGAGUGCACGCAGCAGCCUGGCGUGACAAGUGGGCGACGCCGGGGGGCAGGGAGCCGGGGUCCUUGGCCCUGGCCGGGGACCCCACCGCCCACCGCGCGGAGGACAACUUUUAGCCGGCAGCCCAGACCAGCGCGGCACCUGUCUCCGGAGUCUCCACCGCUCCUCCCGAUUCAUCCCAGGGAAAUUCUCAAGAAUACGCUCUACAAAUCUACGUGCGCAUCAUUUUCACCUCGCGUCGCGCCCGGGAGGAAGGAACGAGGCAAGGAGCUAAAGCAGCGUGCGUUCAGCCCUGGGGCAUUUUAUUAAUGCUUUUACGAGUUAGAAGAGUUGGGAUAAUUUGCCAUCUGGAGUUUCUCUGCCUUGCUGAUCUGAGCUCAGACCUGCCAAUUUACCAGAGAUAAUUGAUAACACCCUGUAACAGCUGAGAGGAAAAUGGAAGAAACGGAGAUACUUUUAGUGAAGCAGAAUAAACCACUGAACAGUCUGUUUCAUCUUCAUAAAAACGCUGCUUUCAGUGCACUGGAUUUAUUUUACAACCCACUAAUGGAUUACCCUACAGUUUGAAAAACAUUGCGUUAGACCAGUUUGACUGUUGUCAAGAACCAAAAAAGGAAAAAUGAGGAAGCUGUGAGUACCAGUGGAAGGAACGAGCCAGGAAGAGGGACUGGAACCAUCUCAGAAGCCAUGCCCCUCAGGCUGGAACUUGCCCUGUCUCCUCGCAGAUGAGGUAGGAGGCUCAGCACGGGCUGGUGGGAGCAGCCCACAGCAGCAGUGAGGGUCAGUGGGCCUGUGAGUUAAGAAGAAGGUGGCACAGAGCGAGGGUCUCUGGAUCCUGACUGUUUGACUUUUCCAUGAUUAGGAUAAGUAGCCAGGGCUUGGCUAGUUGGAGAGUUACUCGAACCUCAGGUGACAGUUGUAAGGCAGCACAUAGUGAAAAAGAGUCCUAGCCUGGGAAAGUCCAAAACCUUAGGUCUGGUUUCAGUUCACUCACCUAUCUCUGUGACAUAGCAAAGUCUGUUAAUUUCUCUAAUUUUCUGAUUAGUAGUAUAGUUGCAGGAAUGAAAUAAAAAUGGUCCUGAUUACUCAGAGAUUCAUUUACUGAUUACUCUUUUUGUGACCUGAAUAAAGAGUACAACAUCUCUCAAAAGGUAACAAUAUGAUGUUUCAGGAAAUUAGAGAAGUUAAGAGACUUUGCUGUAUUUACUAUACAGAUAGUUGACUGACAGCUGAGCCCGGACCCAAGAUUCAUUUAUAAAAUGAAGGAGUUGAGAAGUACAUACUCUGAGGUUUAUCCUAAAUAAACUGAAGUCUAGGCAAGUGGCUGAGCUAGGUUUGCCAUGAAUCAAUCUGCUGAGUAUAUUUCUUGGUAACUAGUUCAUCUUUCCUUAAUUCAGUCAACAAAUAUGAUAUCAAGUUUAGUAAGAUGAUGACAGUUGUCAUGUAAUACUCCAUCUGGAAGAUUGUAUGCUUCUCAGCUUCCCUAACUUUUCUUAAUCUACCUUAAGCUUCCUUUCUGAAAGGUUUCUGUCUUUCCUAACAGUCUCUUCUUUCCGCCAGCUACCUCUUGUGUUUAAGAAUUAAAGGAAGAUGAGCUAGGAAUCAAGAAAUACGCAGAACUGAUUCCUGUCACUGGCGCCACCCUGCCACUUGCCCAGAGCUGUGGUAUAAAUUUUUUUAAUAGGCUGAAAUAAAAAUAUGAAUAGCAUUUUGGUAUUAAGCAUUAAAUUGAUAAAGGCUAUGAGAUACACCUGCUCUCAACCAUGUUAAUUUUUUAUUAUUGGUAUUAAUAAAUUAUUACUUACUAACAUAUUAACAAGAAUUGCAUUGAGAAACAAAGCAUCCACAGGCCAAAUCUUCUGAAUUUCAAAUGUUUAUAUUAAUGCGUUGUAUUCUAGAAAAGUAGAAUUGUCUUAAGUAGCUUUGUAAUAUAAAGUCAUCUAUCAGCCCAUUACACCUAUUAGAAUGUUUUAACCUUUAUUUCCCACUUUUUUGUUUCUAGACUGAGUGUACUUGGUCUGGUAUUUGUGGCAUAACUUACGGAACACAUAAGAAUGAUACAGAUACUAUUUAAUGAUGACCUAAUACAAGCUUAGAUAGCUAAGGUGAAAGCUUCUAUGGCCUUAACAUUUUCCUCUUGAAGAAUGUAUUUUCUGUAAUAAAAUACAGUGGCUACUUGAAAUCUAUAAACUUAUGUGAGGUCUGGAUAAAUCUGAGCAACUUUCUUCUUUGUGCUCCAGGAACCUACGCACUAUAUAUAUAAAUAAAGCUUAAGUAAACAUCACUGCAAAAAAAAAAAAAAAAAA
RNAcentral lists this long non-coding RNA (3273 nucleotides) under Homo sapiens (human). Its description in RNAcentral is "long independently transcribed non-coding RNA, p53 induced transcript, transcript variant 4 (LINC-PINT)". Lineage: Eukaryota; Metazoa; Chordata; Mammalia; Primates; Hominidae. The record is from RNAcentral.